GGUGAUAGCUCAGUGGUAGAGCACAUGCCUCGCAUGCAUGAGGCACUAGGUUUGAUUCUGAGCACCA
Molecule: transfer RNA, 67 nt
Filed under: Ictidomys tridecemlineatus (thirteen-lined ground squirrel)
Lineage: Eukaryota; Metazoa; Chordata; Mammalia; Rodentia; Sciuridae
Also listed under: 1 other name
Description: Spermophilus tridecemlineatus (thirteen-lined ground squirrel) tRNA
Rfam family: tRNA
About the family: Transfer RNA (tRNA) molecules are approximately 80 nucleotides in length. Their secondary structure includes four short double-helical elements and three loops (D, anti-codon, and T loops).
Source: Rfam by way of RNAcentral